GGGGAAUUAGCUCAAAUGGUAGAGCGCUGGCUUAGCAUGCAAGAGGUAGCGGGAUCGAUAUCCGCAUUCUCCA
Molecule: transfer RNA, 73 nt
Filed under: Danionella translucida
Lineage: Eukaryota; Metazoa; Chordata; Actinopteri; Cypriniformes; Danionidae
Also listed under: 1 other name
Rfam family: tRNA
About the family: Transfer RNA (tRNA) molecules are approximately 80 nucleotides in length.
Source: Rfam by way of RNAcentral